ACGCGUUCGUUUUGGUGUAUCACUUCCAAACUUGACUGUGUAGCACUCUAAAAUCUUGAAACUAAAGAUCCUGAGAUGGAAUUUAUUAUGAAGAAGCAUUUUCUGGUUCUUGCCCCAAGGUCUAGGGGAGAGAGAUAAGUGAGGGAAAUAAAAUGUUCUUGCCAUGGUACAGUUGGUUAAUGAAAUGAAGAAAAUACCUAGAAGUUCCUAGUGUUAAUAGUCUGUUUAAUCUAGAGCUGGUUGACUUAAUUUCUACUCAUGUUCGUGGGAGGUCUUACUGUAUAAAGGAUCCAUUGCUUGGAGAUUUCACACUUUUACUCCAAGAUAGGUUAAAACUGAAUGGCAUGGGAAAGCAAAGCUUGCUGUUGGAAUGAACACUUCACUCUGUUUUGCUGUGCUCCCAUAUGACUUCCAGAGGAUUCAGCUCUGCACACGGUUCCAUUUAUGGCUUCUUAUGUCUUUCUUUUCUAACAGCAGUUUUAAAAUCUGAUUAUGAGGACAAUAGGUUUAACUGCAUUUUCUAUGGGAAACUUCAGUGUUUCUGGCACAAGAACUAAUUGUAGUUACUCAUACGUCUGAGCUUCCAAAGUCCCAAAGAUGAGCAUCUUUCUGAUUAUCUUUGUGGAUUGCAGCAUCACCCCUUAACAUGCAACCAACCUCAAGAAUUUGAACACAAACAGAUGUGGAAAUAAAUGUGUGCAUUUCCCUCAACAAUCUGUAUUCGGUCUUCUUGUCCUGGGAAAAGCUGGUAGAAUUCACCUGGAUAUUUGAUUUCUUCUUGACUAGGCUCGGUUUCCAAGACAGGGCCUUCCUUUCCCAGAGUUUCAAGUGAUAGAUGUUGAGGGUCACCGCAGCUGCUGGAGCGGGAGAUCAGUGCCACCACGAACCACUGCCAAAAUAUUCCUGCUUGCAACUUACUGGAACCUUACUCAUGAGAUCUGCUACCUUUGAUGUCUUGCAGGAGAGGUAUGAGACGGUUUCUUUGGUCACUGAGUAAUGAACUAUUUGCAGUGAUAGGCACUGACUGUCGACUGUGUCUUCAUCUGUUCUCCUCAUCUUAACUCCAGGUUGCUGUGUUGAUCGUUGAACGUCAUUGCUGAUGUACUGCUUUCUUAGCACGGGUGUAUGUUGUAACCUCUCGGCCUGUAGGUAGCUACCCAGCCUCUUUAAAGCUGCUCUUCUGCAGUUAAUCCGUUAUUUCAAUGAGUUAAUAAUUCUUCCCAGUCCUCUGAAAUUCUAGAAUUCAUUGCCUAACCACAAGUGGUCAUUCUCCCAUAAGUUGUGUUUGAUUCCAUUGUGUUGUAAUAGAAAACCAGAAGAAACAAAAUAUUGUGCAGCUCAUUUUUAACAUAACUCAGAUUUUUACAUAAAAAGGAGCACUGUCUUUGUAGGCAGCUUUUAUAAUUUAUAAUUUUAAUAAUCUGAGACGGUAGCUUCGUACAUCAUCUUCAGUCUUUGCAAAAAAAAAUGUUCUCUUCAAAUUAUUGUUUGGAUAAUUAGACUUCGUUCCUAGUGAGAAAAUAUUAUAAAAAUAAUAUAAAUAAUAUUCAAAUCUUGAAGGAUUAUCUGCUUCCUCCUCACAUGCAAGUUACACAUUCUCACCCGGGGAGCCUGCGGCACUAGGAUGAAUACCUGUCUCUACAGCAGCUUUAAUGUUCUCCGUGUUUGUGGAGGGCUGUCAAGGUGGAACACCUUCACUUCAGAUCUGUUUGCCUUUAUUUUCUUUAGUGUUCAUUCAUGAUGCUGUUUGUUCCUUGAGUCCUGCAUAACCCCUCCCUUCCAGAAAUUUAGUUUUAACUUCUUAAGGCUACCAUCUGCUGGGUAAUUAAUGUCCCACUUAGUGACAGCAUUAAUACCCGCAUCACUUACUUCCCUGACCCUACUUUGAGGCACUGUCUGUUCUUCCUGGUAGCGAAUGCACACACUAUGGACUUAGGAUUGCAGUUGGUCUCUUAUCUUCCUUCUUUACUGGCCUUCCUCUUUCUGCUGUAUCCUCCGCUAUAACAAUAUCACCAAUUUAUUUGUACGGCGCUUGAUGUAUUUACAGCAGAGAAAAAAUGGUGACGGAAUGAAGGUGUUUUUUUUCUGGGCCUCAAAUCGUUGCCUCUUUCAGAGACCGACACAGCUGUCAUUACCGCUGUAUGCAGGGAAGAGUCCGUUUGUGACAGUUGUAGCUUUCUUGGUACUCCUAAAAACUGAUCGCAACUUUGCGUUGGAAAAUAAACUGUUAUAUUACAUAAUUAUUAUAGACCCAUUUGGCCAGUCUUCCAAGAAAAUAUCUUCUGUUGAAGUCGUAUGGGUUGUUUCGGUAAGGGUUCUGGGAUUCAAUCCAGGGCUGAUUAUUCAGAGCUCCGUGGUAACCACCAACUAGUUCCUUGCUAAGGAUCCAUCGACAACCUCCCUUCUUAGAGAUUAAGAAAAAGAGGCUUCACAAUUUCAGUGUGAAAAUACACCGUGACCGUUCUGCUAUCUGGUAAUAAAUCAGUGUUGCAGAGGGAAAAGAGUUAAAAUUGGGGGUUUUUAAAAUUGUUUUUUUCCCUGAGCUUGUUAACUAAAUCUGGCGAGACGUUCUUUACUCAAAUACACAAGACCUGGUGCAACUUACUUUGCUGUGAAGAAAUAGAGAUGAAAUUAUAAAUGGAAACAAUAUAAAACAGAGGGAUGAGACCUUGUAGUUAAGAUGAGAUUGUCCAUUCACUCUUCAAGGAAUGGUUUUUUUAUAGGGAUAAAUGAUCCUCCAGAGGAGGCUACAAAGAUGAUUGGUAUGGAGCACCUCCACACGAGGACAGGCUGAGAGAGUUGGGGUUGUUCAGCCUGAAGAAGAGAAGGCUCCGAGGAGACCUUAGAGCAGCUUACAGUACCUGAAGGGGCUCCA
Molecule: long non-coding RNA, 2875 nt
Organism: Cuculus canorus (common cuckoo)
Lineage: Eukaryota; Metazoa; Chordata; Aves; Cuculiformes; Cuculidae
Exons: 3
Source: RefSeq, a predicted model, not a curated record